Molecule: ribosomal RNA, 478 nt
Filed under: uncultured bacterium
Lineage: Bacteria
Description: partial 16S ribosomal RNA
Rfam family: Bacterial small subunit ribosomal RNA
Source: RNAcentral
GAUGAACGCUCGCGGCAGGCUUAACACAUGCAAGUCGAGGGGUAUUUCUCUUCGGAUAGCGAGACCGGCGCACGGGUGCGUAACGCGUAUGCAAUCUACCUUUUACAGAGGGAUAGCCCAGAGAAAUUUGGAUUAAUACCUCAUAGUAUAUAGACUCGGCAUCGAGAUUAUAUUAAAGUCACAACGGUAAAAGAUGAGCAUGCGUCCCAUUAGCUAGUUGGUAAGGUAACGGCUUACCAAGGCUACGAUGGGUAGGGGUCCUGAGAGGGAGAUCCCCCACACUGGUACUGAGACACGGACCAGACUCCUACGGGAGGCAGCAGUGAGGAAUAUUGGACAAUGGGCGCAAGCCUGAUCCAGCCAUGCCGCGUGCAGGAUGACGGUCCUAUGGAUUGUAAACUGCUUUUAUACGAGAAGAAACACUGCUACGUGUAGCAGCUUGACGGUAUCGGAAGAAUAAGGAUCGGCUAACUCCGUG